CAUGUCCUUUUGAUAAUGAUUUAAGGUCUAAUCUGCCCACUGAAAAUUAAAUGGCCGCAGUAAUUUGACUGUGCUAAGGUAGCAUAAUAAUUAGUUUUUUAAUUGAAAGCUGGUAUGAAUGAUUGGAUGAGAUAAUAGCUGUUUCAAUUUAAAUUAUAAAAUUUUAUAUUUAAGUUAAAAAGCUUAAAUUUAAUUAAAAGACGAGAAGACCCUAUAGAGUUUAAUAAUUUAUUUUAAAUUUUAUUUAUUUUUUUAAAAAAUUAUUUUAAUUUAGAUUAUUUGGUUGGGGUGACAAAAAAAUUUAAUAAACUUUUUAAUAUCUAAACAUUAAUAAGUGAUUAGUUGAUCCAUUUAUUAUGAUUAUAAGAUUAAAUUACCUUAGGGAUAACAGCGUUAUUACUUUAGAGAGUUCUUAUCGAAAAAGUAGAUUGCGACCUCGAUGUUGGAUUAAAGUUAAAUUUUGGUGUAGAAGCUAAAAUUUUAAGUCUGUUCGACUUUUAAAACUUUACAUGAUCUGAGU
Molecule: ribosomal RNA, 520 nt
Filed under: Colotes javeti
Lineage: Eukaryota; Metazoa; Arthropoda; Insecta; Coleoptera; Melyridae
Description: partial 16S ribosomal RNA
Rfam family: Bacterial large subunit ribosomal RNA (bases 384-520)
Source: RNAcentral